GCAAAAUCUGACCAAAUCAAUUUCUUCAUUAUUUUUCAAGCAAACUUAAAAUCGUUUUUAAUUAUACAAUACUAAACCCUAAGAUAGUACAUAGAGAACCCAAGCAAAAAAAUUUAUAGAUUUUAUUGAAUUUUAGUUUUAAUCAAAUCAAACUCUUUCUCUCUUUCAAGUUGAUGUGUCUAUGCUUUGGUUUCUUGGAAAGAUAAAGGAAGAAAAAGAAGAAUAGGAAAGUGCAAGUUGUAGGAUUUGGGAUAUUUUUCGUGGGAGUUUUCUGUGAUUCAACAAUUCUUUGGAGAAGAUGAUGUCAAUGACUGGAGGAUAUAGAUGACUUUUCACCAGGGAAGAGUAUCUGUUUUUGAAUGUUAUGUAAGAAGUGCCUUAAAGUAAAUAUAUA
RNAcentral lists this small RNA (394 nucleotides) under Arabidopsis thaliana (thale cress). RNAcentral's name for it is "putative long intergenic non-coding RNA". Lineage: Eukaryota; Viridiplantae; Streptophyta; Magnoliopsida; Brassicales; Brassicaceae. The record is from RNAcentral.